CGAUUCACAAGAGCGGCCACUCAAAGGCUCAGAUUGUCCUCGGGAGCGGGAGCGCGAGACAGCGACAGCCAUGACUUCGCAUUGGAGGUCUGUGCUUGAGGGAGGCUGGAGGCCGAGGCGGAGGUGACGCCUUCCAAGGACAAGAAAAAACAACAACAACAACAAUAACGUGUAUCGAGUUACUAGCACUGUAUUCAUCUAUCAUUGGACUAUCUCGGACUUCAGCUGACCUGCAGUAGUCCUGUCAGCUGAUCAUCAGGAGAUGGAAGCAAACUAACUUAUAUUUUUCGUAAUUUUUCAACAGUUACAUUAGCAUCUAAAUAUACAAUUUCUGUGGUAAUAUUUGAAGAAAUUAGGGUAUUUUUAAAGGUGUAAUGUUUUUGUUCGUUGAGAAUACGAAAGCAUUUAGAAAAUAUUCUUCAAGAUCUCGAAAACAAAAAUGUUUUCUUAAUUUAAGUAUUUGUUUAUAGAUUUAACCAAGUGAUAAUAAUAAUAAUAAUAAUAAUAAUAAUAAUAAUAAUAAUAAUAAUAAUAAUAAUAAUAAUAAUGAUAAUAAUAAUAAUAAUAAUAAUAAUAAUAAUAAUAAUAAUGAUAAACAGUCAGAGAAAAAAAUAAAACAAAAAAGAGAAAUGAAAAAUGAGACGAAAGUGCAAGAUAAGACGAACUGUCAGACACAAUUUGUCUAACGAGGAGCUCCAGUUCAAGGGAUAUUUGGAUGUAAGAUCCAGAAGUAUAGGGACAGAGGAAGGAAAGAAGAUAAUUGAAGCGAGGAAGAGGGAAACGGACGAUAGGGAGGGAUAGAAGGGGGGAAAAGGCGAUGGGAAGGGAUAGAGGAGGAAGUGAAAGGAAAUAACUUGAAGCAAACUGAAAAUAAAUUCAUACACACACACAUACACACACCCACACACACACACACACACACACACACACACACACACACACACACAAAUGAAAAAUUAAACUUGAGAAGAAAAAAUACCGCUCGAGGAUUCUGUCCAGUUAGGCUUGUAUUCUCUUCAUCAUAUACAAUGCUUGCAGGUAACGUUCGUUUAUGUAACUAAUUCGUUGACCUAUAAUGCCGAAUGUAUUUUAUCUUACUAGGAUUUUUUUCCCUAAACAUCUGAAGGACAGUUAGAUCGUCCUACUUAUGCAAACUGUGAACGUCGUAUUAAACAGAUAAAUUUC
Molecule: long non-coding RNA, 1185 nt
Organism: Penaeus monodon (black tiger shrimp)
Lineage: Eukaryota; Metazoa; Arthropoda; Malacostraca; Decapoda; Penaeidae
Exons: 2
Source: RefSeq, a predicted model, not a curated record